UUAGUAAUGGGCAUAAUACAUUUAAAUAAUAUUUAGGGUGAAAAUUUUCCAACUUAAGAUUUCGGAUUUGGGGAAAUAUUUUCGUAUAUUAAACAUAACUUAACUUUUAGGUAAAGUUCUGUACAAAAUAUUUAAUUUACCCCACGUUUAUCCCAUNACAACUAAAUAAUAACAAUUAUAUGUCUUACCUGAACNCUUUNGGUCAAAGAAUCAAAUAUUUAGUGACNCUAAAUAAACAUACAUAUAUANAAGUAUUAGAAUGACAACAACCUANGAUAUUUACUAACAGUAUUAAAACAAACAUAAUGUUAAUAUUAGUAUACUAAAGUACAAAAAUUUAUUGUAAGUAACUCGGCAAACAAAGUUCUAUCAACUGUUUACCAAAAACAUAGCUUCAAGAACAAUUAAAUUUGAAGUUAACUCUGCCCAGUGAUAAAAAGAGAUUUUUAUUUAACGGCCGCAGUACUUUGACUGUGCUAAGGUAGCAUAAUAACUUGGCUUAUAANUGAAGUCUGGAAUGAAAGAAGUCUUUGAAUAGAAAGCUGUCUCACAAUAACUACUUAAAACUUAUUAUAUUAGGUGAAAAUACCUAUGAUACAUAUCUAAGACGAGAAGACCCUUGGAAUUUUUAUAAAUUUUUACUUUUCACUUUUCUCCUCUUUGUCCGUUCUUUAUGCUCUAAGUGUGUAUAACCAAAACAUGCGAAGUGACUAAAAAUAUUAGCAUCAUGCAUAAAAGAAAAGAAAAAAAUAAAAACAUAGACGUCGACGUAAAGUAAACCUAUUUUAGUUGGGGCAACUUAGAGUCAUUAAAAAUGUAUACAUGGACAAAUGGCCCAUAUAUCCAAUAUCAAAAAUUAUCCUAAAAUACACUUACAAGAUUUAGGAAAAUAAAAAUAUAACAAUAAUACCAAAUUAAUUUCCC
RNAcentral lists this ribosomal RNA (924 nucleotides) under Gomphroa bisacchii. RNAcentral's name for it is "partial 16S ribosomal RNA". The record is from RNAcentral. Lineage: Eukaryota; Metazoa; Mollusca; Gastropoda; Stylommatophora; Azecidae.